Molecule: transfer RNA, 75 nt
Filed under: Holospora undulata HU1
Lineage: Bacteria; Pseudomonadati; Pseudomonadota; Alphaproteobacteria; Holosporales; Holosporaceae
Also listed under: 1 other name
Description: tRNA-Thr
Rfam family: tRNA
About the family: Transfer RNA (tRNA) molecules are approximately 80 nucleotides in length. Their secondary structure includes four short double-helical elements and three loops (D, anti-codon, and T loops).
Source: RNAcentral
GCCGUGGUAGCUCAGGGGUAGAGCACACCCUUGGUAAGGGUGUGGUCGAGAGUUCGAUUCUCUUCUACGGCACCA